This 512-nucleotide ribosomal RNA is filed under the name uncultured bacterium. RNAcentral's name for it is "bacterial SSU rRNA". It matches the Rfam family "Bacterial small subunit ribosomal RNA", at positions 28 to 531 of the family's 1533-position model. The record is from RNAcentral.
GACGAACGCUGGCGGCGUGCUUAAUACAUGCAAGUCGAGCGAGGUUACUGUUUCGGAUCCCUUCGGGGUGAAGAAGCUUUAACCUAGCGGCGGACGGGUGAGUAACGCGUGGGUAACCUACCCCAAAGUCCGGGAUAACAGCGGGAAACCGCUGCUAAUACCGGAUGCCUUUACCUUGGGGCAUCUUGAGGUAAAGAAAGGUAACGCUUUGGGAUGGGCCCGCGUCCCAUUAGCUAGUUGGUGAGGUAACGGCUCACCAAGGCGACGAUGGGUAGCCGGCCUGAGAGGGUGGACGGCCACACUGGGACUGAGACACGGCCCAGACUCCUACGGGAGGCAGCAGUAGGGAAUAUUGCGCAAUGGACGGAAGUCUGACGCAGCGACGCCGCGUGAGCGAUGAAGGUCUUCGGAUCGUAAAGCUCUGUCCUUGGGGAAGAAGGCGAAAGCUUGACGGUACCCAAGAAGAAAGCCCCGGCUAACUACGUGCCAGCAGCCGCGGUAAAUCACGUGUA